This 253-nucleotide ribosomal RNA is filed under the name uncultured bacterium. RNAcentral's name for it is "partial 16S ribosomal RNA". It matches the Rfam family "Bacterial small subunit ribosomal RNA", at positions 524 to 776 of the family's 1533-position model. The record is from RNAcentral.
UACAGAGACUGCAAGCGUUAUUCGGAUUCACUGGGCGUAAAGGGCGCGUAGGCGGCCUUCUAAGUCGAGCGUGAAAUCCCCGGGCUCAACCCGGGAACUGCGUCCGAUACUGGAAGGCUUGAAUCCGGGAGAGGGAUGCGGAAUUCCAGGUGUAGCGGUGAAAUGCGUAGAUAUCUGGAGGAACACCGGUGGCGAAGGCGGCAUCCUGGACCGGCAUUGACGCUGAGGCGCGAAAGCCAGGGGAGCAAACGGG